Molecule: ribosomal RNA, 1474 nt
Filed under: uncultured bacterium
Lineage: Bacteria
Description: bacterial SSU rRNA
Rfam family: Bacterial small subunit ribosomal RNA
Source: RNAcentral
GACGAACGCUGGCGGCGUGCUUAACACAUGCAAGUCGAACGGUAAGGCCCUUCGGGGUACACGAGUGGCGAACGGGUGAGUAACACGUGGGUAAUCUGCCCUGCACUUCGGGAUAAGCCUGGGAAACUGGGUCUAAUACCGGAUAUUCAGCUUUCACCGCAUGGUGGUGGUUGGAAAGUUUUUCGGUGCAGGAUGAGCCCGCGGCCUAUCAGCUUGUUGGUGAGGUAAUGGCUCACCAAGGCGACGACGGGUAGCCGGCCUGAGAGGGUGACCGGCCACACUGGGACUGAGACACGGCCCAGACUCCUACGGGAGGCAGCAGUGGGGAAUAUUGCACAAUGGGCGAAAGCCUGAUGCAGCGACGCCGCGUGAGGGAUGACGGCCUUCGGGUUGUAAACCUCUUUCAGUAGGGAAGAAGCGAAAGUGACGGUACCUGCAGAAGAAGCGCCGGCUAACUACGUGCCAGCAGCCGCGGUAAUACGUAGGGCGCAAGCGUUAUCCGGAUUUAUUGGGCGUAAAGAGCUCGUAGGCGGUUUGUCGCGUCUGCCGUGAAAGUCCGAGGCUCAACCUCGGAUCUGCGGUGGGUACGGGCAGACUAGAGUGAUGUAGGGGAGACUGGAAUUCCUGGUGUAGCGGUGAAAUGCGCAGAUAUCAGGAGGAACACCGAUGGCGAAGGCAGGUCUCUGGGCAUUUACUGACGCUGAGGAGCGAAAGCAUGGGGAGCGAACAGGAUUAGAUACCCUGGUAGUCCAUGCCGUAAACGUUGGGCACUAGGUGUGGGGGACAUUCCACGUUUUCCGCGCCGUAGCUAACGCAUUAAGUGCCCCGCCUGGGGAGUACGGCCGCAAGGCUAAAACUCAAAGGAAUUGACGGGGGCCCGCACAAGCGGCGGAGCAUGCGGAUUAAUUCGAUGCAACGCGAAGAACCUUACCAAGGCUUGACAUGUGCCAGACCGCCUCAGAGAUGGGGUUUCCCUUCGGGGCUGGUUCACAGGUGGUGCAUGGUUGUCGUCNGCUCGUGUCGUGAGAUGUUGGGUUAAGUCCCGCAACNAGCGCAACCCUCGUUCCAUGUUGCCAGCACGUANNGGUGGGGACUCAUGGGAGACUGCCGGGGUCAACUCGGAGGAAGGUGGGGAUGACGUCAAAUCAUCAUGCCCCUUAUGUCUUGGGCUUCACGCAUGCUACAAUGGCCGGUACAAUGGGUUGCGAUACUGUGAGGUGGAGCUAAUCCCUAAAAGCCGGUCUCAGUUCGGAUUGGGGUCUGCAACUCGACCCCAUGAAGUCGGAGUCGCUAGUAAUCGCAGAUCAGCAACGCUGCGGUGAAUACGUUCCCGGGCCUUGUACACACCGCCCGUCAAGUCACGAAAGUUGGUAACACCCGAAGCCGAUGGCCUAACCACCUUGUGUGGGGGGAGUCGUCGAAGGUGGGACUGGCGAUUGGGACUAAGUCGUAACAAGGUAGCCGUACCGGAAGG